AUGUCCCCAUUAUUCAAUCCCAAGCAUUUCCGGUGCCACUUCCGGAUGGCGAGGCAUGUGUUCUACCGUAUUCUGGAGGGAGUGAUGGCUUAUGAUGAUUAUUUCGUAUGCAAGGAGGAUGCCCUUGGAAAGGUUGGCUUCUCCUCUUAUGAGAAAUGCACUGCAACUAUUCGGAUGCUUGCAUUCGGAAUUCUCGGUGAUUUUAUUGAUGAGUAUGUCCGUAUAAGUGGGUCCACAUGCCUUGCGUCAUUGUACAAGUUCUGCAAGGUUGUGGUAGCAGUGUUUGGCCCGAGUACCUGA
RNAcentral lists this ribosomal RNA (300 nucleotides) under Triticum aestivum (bread wheat). RNAcentral's name for it is "partial small subunit ribosomal RNA". The record is from RNAcentral. Lineage: Eukaryota; Viridiplantae; Streptophyta; Magnoliopsida; Poales; Poaceae.